GAAUGUGAGGGUGACCUGGCUGUGACCCUGCCACCCCAUUGAUUGCAGAGCCCAUUAGACUGAUGUGGUGGCCCGGUGUCUUCUUUCUCCCUCACCUCUGUCUACGUCAGCUUUCAAGUCUCGGGCUCAGACAACAGGAAUGACAUAACCCCGUUAAAGGAGCAUUCAUUCUCUGUAGGUCCAGGGAAUGUGAUCACUGCUCAGGGAGGCUUCAAGAUGGGGCUUUUCUGUGACCCUGUAAUGCCUCCCAAAGUGUUGACAUGAACACUGUGAGAAGGUGCUUACUGAGUCUCUCUCUGCAG
Molecule: small nuclear RNA, 302 nt
Filed under: Callithrix jacchus (white-tufted-ear marmoset)
Lineage: Eukaryota; Metazoa; Chordata; Mammalia; Primates; Cebidae
Description: 7SK RNA
Rfam family: 7SK RNA
About the family: 7SK was discovered as an abundant small nuclear RNA in the mid-70s but a possible function has only recently been suggested. Two independent studies have found that 7SK RNA binds the CDK9/cyclin T complex (known as elongation factor P-TEFb). P-TEFb activates transcription by phosphorylating the C-terminal domain of RNA polymerase II.
Source: Rfam by way of RNAcentral